UACGAGGGGGGCAAAUGUUGUUCGGAAUCACUGGGCGUAAAGGGAGCGUAGGCGGGUUUCUAAGUCAGGUGUUUAAUCCCGGGGCCCAACCCCGGACAGGCACUUGAAACUGGAAAUCUUGAAUAGUGGAGAGGUCAGUGGAAUUGGGGGUGUAGCGGUGGAAUGCGUAGAGAUCCCCAAGAACACCGGUGGCGAAGGCGGCAUCCUGGACCGGCAUUGACGCUGAGGAGCGAAAGCCAGGGGAGCAAACGGG
Molecule: ribosomal RNA, 253 nt
Filed under: uncultured bacterium
Lineage: Bacteria
Description: partial 16S ribosomal RNA
Rfam family: Bacterial small subunit ribosomal RNA
Source: RNAcentral